RNAcentral lists this ribosomal RNA (253 nucleotides) under uncultured bacterium. RNAcentral describes it as "partial 16S ribosomal RNA". It matches the Rfam family "Bacterial small subunit ribosomal RNA", at positions 524 to 776 of the family's 1533-position model. The record is from RNAcentral.
UACGUAGGGUCCGAGCGUUGUCCGGAAUUAUUGGGCGUAAAGGGCUCGUAGGCGGUCUGUUGCGUCGGGAGUGAAAACUUACAGCUUAACUGUGAGCGUGCUUUCGAUACGGGCAGACUUGAGGCAUUAAGGGGAGAACGGAAUUCCUGGUGUAGCGGUGAAAUGCGCAGAUAUCAGGAGGAACACCGGUGGCGAAGGCGGUUCUCUGGGAAUGUCCUGACGCUGAGGAGCGAAAGUGUGGGGAGCGAACAGG